UAGGGAAUCUUCGGCAAUGGACGAAAGUCUGACCGAGCAACGCCGCGUGAGUGAAGAAGGUUUUCGGAUCGUAAAACUCUGUUGUUAGAGAAGAACAAGGACGUUAGUAACUGAACGUCCCCUGACGGUAUCUAACCAGAAAGCCACGGCUAACUACGUGCCAGCAGCCGCGGUAAUACGUAGGUGGCAAGCGUUGUCCGGAUUUAUUGGGCGUAAAGCGAGCGCAGGCGGUUUCUUAAGUCUGAUGUGAAAGCCCCCGGCUCAACCGGGGAGGGUCAUUGGAAACUGGGUGACUUGAGUGCAGAAGAGGAGAGUGGAAUUCCAUGUGUAGCGGUGAAAUGCGUAGAUAUAUGGAGGAACACCGGUGGCGAAGGCGGCUCUCUGGUCUGUAACUGACGCUGAGGCUCGAAAGCGUGGGGAGCAAACAGG
RNAcentral lists this ribosomal RNA (429 nucleotides) under Gemmatimonadota bacterium. Its description in RNAcentral is "Gemmatimonadetes bacterium partial 16S ribosomal RNA". It matches the Rfam family "Bacterial small subunit ribosomal RNA", at positions 355 to 776 of the family's 1533-position model. Lineage: Bacteria; Pseudomonadati; Gemmatimonadota. The record is from RNAcentral.